UGAACGCUGGCGGCACGCCUUACACAUGCAAGUCGAACGGCAGCGCGGACUUCGGUCUGGCGGCGAGUGGCGAACGGGUGAGUAAUACAUCGGAACGUACCCUGUUGUGGGGGAUAACUAGUCGAAAGAUUAGCUAAUACCGCAUACGACCUGAGGGUGAAAGUGGGGGACCGCAAGGCCUCACGCAGCAGGAGCGGCCGAUGUCUGAUUAGCUUGUUGGUGGGGUAAAAGCCCACCAAGGCGACGAUCAGUAGCUGGUCUGAGAGGACGAUCAGCCACACUGGGACUGAGACACGGCCCAGACUCCUACGGGAGGCAGCAGUGGGGAAUUUUGGACAAUGGGCGCAAGCCUGAUCCAGGCCAUGCCGCGUGCAGGAUG
This 379-nucleotide ribosomal RNA is filed under the name uncultured bacterium. Its description in RNAcentral is "bacterial SSU rRNA". It matches the Rfam family "Bacterial small subunit ribosomal RNA", at positions 30 to 410 of the family's 1533-position model. The record is from RNAcentral.